UCUUCAUCAACCGAUAGAGGUUUUACUUAACUGUAGAUUAAUAGGGAAUCGUGUGUAAAUCACGAACUGUCGCGCAACUGUAAGUAACACAAAAAGUUUUUAUCUGAAAUAAGAUCCACUGUUUGCUUUGCAAAUGGGAAGGACGGUAAAAAUGUUACAAGUCAGGAGACCUGCCUUUAUUGAAUUGACAAU
Molecule: non-coding RNA, 192 nt
Filed under: Flavobacterium sp.
Lineage: Bacteria; Pseudomonadati; Bacteroidota; Flavobacteriia; Flavobacteriales; Flavobacteriaceae
Also listed under: 1 other name
Source: RNAcentral